GCCGCAAUGGUGGAAUUGGUAGACACGAGGGACUUAAAAUCCCUUAGCCAUACAACGGCUGUGCGGGUUCGAGUCCCGCUCGCGGCA
Molecule: transfer RNA, 87 nt
Filed under: Prevotella micans
Lineage: Bacteria; Pseudomonadati; Bacteroidota; Bacteroidia; Bacteroidales; Prevotellaceae
Also listed under: 1 other name
Description: tRNA-Leu
Rfam family: tRNA
About the family: Transfer RNA (tRNA) molecules are approximately 80 nucleotides in length. Their secondary structure includes four short double-helical elements and three loops (D, anti-codon, and T loops).
Source: RNAcentral